UGGGGAAUCUUGCGCAAUGGGCGGAAGCCUGACGCAGCAACGCCGCGUGCGGGAAGAAGGCCUUAGGGUCGUAAACCGCUUUCAGGGGGGACGAAGCUUCCGGGGUUAAUAGCCUACGGGGUGACGGUACUCCCAGAAGAAGGUCCGGCUAACUACGUGCCAGCAGCCGCGGUAAUACGUAGGGACCGAGCGUUGUCCGGAAUCAUUGGGCGUAAAGAGCGUGUAGGCGGCCUGGUAGGUCUCGUGUGAAAGCCCGCGGCUCAACCGCGGAUCCGCACGGGAAACCCCCAGGCUCGAGUCCGGAAGAGGAGAGUGGAAUUCCAGGUGUAGCGGUGAAAUGCGCAGAUAUCUGGAAGAACACCCGUAGCGAAGGCGGCUCUCUGGGACGGUACUGACGCUG
Molecule: ribosomal RNA, 400 nt
Filed under: uncultured bacterium
Lineage: Bacteria
Description: bacterial SSU rRNA
Rfam family: Bacterial small subunit ribosomal RNA
Source: RNAcentral